Molecule: ribosomal RNA, 419 nt
Filed under: Escherichia coli
Lineage: Bacteria; Pseudomonadati; Pseudomonadota; Gammaproteobacteria; Enterobacterales; Enterobacteriaceae
Description: bacterial SSU rRNA
Rfam family: Bacterial small subunit ribosomal RNA
Source: RNAcentral
UACUGGGCGUAAAGCGCACGCAGGCGGUUUGUUAAGUCAGAUGUGAAAUCCCCGGGCUCAACCUGGGAACUGCAUCUGAUACUGGCAAGCUUGAGUCUCGUAGAGGGGGGUAGAAUUCCAGGUGUAGCGGUGAAAUGCGUAGAGAUCUGGAGGAAUACCGGUGGCGAAGGCGGCCCCCUGGACGAAGACUGACGCUCAGGUGCGAAAGCGUGGGGAGCAAACAGGAUUAGAUACCCUGGUAGUCCACGCCGUAAACGAUGUCGACUUGGAGGUUGUGCCCUUGAGGCGUGGCUUCCGGAGCUAACGCGUUAAGUCGACCGCCUGGGGAGUACGGCCGCAAGGUUAAAACUCAAAUGAAUUGACGGGGGCCCGCACAAGCGGUGGAGCAUGUGGUUUAAUUCGAUGCAACGCGAAGAACC